RNAcentral lists this unclassified non-coding RNA (231 nucleotides) under Hevea brasiliensis (rubber tree). Lineage: Eukaryota; Viridiplantae; Streptophyta; Magnoliopsida; Malpighiales; Euphorbiaceae. The record is from RNAcentral.
GUUAAAGGGGAGUUAGACCCUAAGGGCAGAGCUAAGAAAACUAGACCCAAGCUAGAUAGGACACCUCAUGUAAUAUCAAAUGACAACUGGGCCUAUGAAGCCAGAGUUAAACUUAGUUGCACUUAAGUGGGAGUGUUGGAAAUGGCUUAAGGGAUAAAGUCCCACAUUGGCAGAGAAAGGAGAAAAAGAAGGGUUUAUAAUGGGGCAAAACCAAACCAAAAUGGUUUAGGC